GAUGAACGCUAGCUACAGGCCUAACACAUGGCAAGGUCGAGGGGCAGCGGGAAGGAAGCUUGCUUUCUUCGCCGGCGACCGGCGCACGGGUGCGUAACGCGUAUCGAACCUACCCUUUACUCGGGAACAGCCUUGCGAAAGCAAGAUUAAUGCCCGAUGUUCCGCGUUUGCCGCAUGGCAAAUUCGGCAAAGAUUUAUUGGUAAAGGAUGGCGAUGCGUCCCAUUAGUUAGUUGGCGGGGUAACGGCCCACCAAGACGACGAUGGGUAGGGGUUCUGAGAGGAAGGUCCCCCACAUUGGAACUGAGACACGGUCCAAACUCCUACGGGAGGCAGCAGUGAGGAAUAUUGGUCAAUGGGCGAGAGCCUGAACCAGCCAAGUCGCGUGAGGGAAGACGGUCCUACGGAUUGUAAACCUCUUUUGUCGGGGAGUAACGUGCGGGACGCGUCCCGUAUUGAGAGUACCCGAAGAAAAAGCAUCGGCUAACUCCGUG
Molecule: ribosomal RNA, 492 nt
Filed under: uncultured bacterium
Lineage: Bacteria
Description: bacterial SSU rRNA
Rfam family: Bacterial small subunit ribosomal RNA
Source: RNAcentral